UACGUAGGGUGCGAGCGUUGUCCGGAAUUAUUGGGCGUAAAGAGCUCGUAGGCGGCUUGUCGCGUCGGAUGUGAAAGCCCGGGGCUUAACUCCGGGUCUGCAUUCGAUACGGGCAGGCUAGAGUGUGGUAGGGGGAGAUCGGAAUUCCUGGUGUAGCGGUGAAAUGCGCAGAUAUCAGGAGGAACACCGGUGGUGAAGGCGGAUCUCUGGGCCAUUACUGACGCUGAGGAGCGAAAGCGUGGGGAGCGAACAGG
RNAcentral lists this ribosomal RNA (254 nucleotides) under uncultured bacterium. RNAcentral's name for it is "partial 16S ribosomal RNA". It matches the Rfam family "Bacterial small subunit ribosomal RNA", at positions 524 to 776 of the family's 1533-position model. The record is from RNAcentral.